Molecule: ribosomal RNA, 253 nt
Filed under: uncultured bacterium
Lineage: Bacteria
Description: partial 16S ribosomal RNA
Rfam family: Bacterial small subunit ribosomal RNA
Source: RNAcentral
UACGUAGGGAGCAAGCGUUGUCCGGUAUCAUUGGGCGUAAAGGGCGCGUAGGCGGCCUGACAAGUGGAAGGUGAAAUCCCUCGGCUUAACCGAGGAACUGCCCUCCAAACUGUCUGGCUUGAGACCGGGAGAGGUGAGUGGAAUUCCCAGUGUAGCGGUGAAAUUCGUAGAUAUUGGGAAGAACACCGGUGGCGAAGGCGGCUCACUGGCUCGUAUCUGACGCUCAGGCGCGACAGCGUGGGGAUCAAACAGG